ACGCUGGCGGCAGGCCUAACACAUGCAAGUCGAGCGGAAACGACACUAACAAUCCUUCGGGUGCGUUAAUGGGCGUCGAGCGGCGGACGGGUGAGUAAUGCCUAGGAAAUUGCCUUGAUGUGGGGGAUAACCAUUGGAAACGAUGGCUAAUACCGCAUAAUGCCUACGGGCCAAAGAGGGGGACCUUCGGGCCUCUCGCGUCAAGAUAUGCCUAGGUGGGAUUAGCUAGUUGGUGAGGUAAUGGCUCACCAAGGCGACGAUCCCUAGCUGGUCUGAGAGGAUGAUCAGCCACACUGGAACUGAGACACGGUCCAGACUCCUACGGGAGGCAGCAGUGGGGAAUAUUGCACAAUGGGCGAAAGCCUGAUGCAGCCAUGCCGCGUGUAUGAAGAAGGCCUUCGGGUUGUAAAGUACUUUCAGUUGUGAGGAAGGGGGUAGCGUUAAUAGCGCUAUCUCUUGACGUUAGCAACAGAAGAAGCACCGGCUAACUCCGUGCCAGCAGCCGCGGUAAUACGGAGGGUGCGAGCGUUAAUCGGAAUUACUGGGCGUAAAGCGCAUGCAGGUGGUUCAUUAAGUCAGAUGUGAAAGCCCGGGGCUCAACCUCGGAACUGCAUUUGAAACUGGUGAACUAGAGUACUGUAGAGGGGGGUAGAAUUUCAGGUGUAGCGGUGAAAUGCGUAGAGAUCUGAAGGAAUACCAGUGGCGAAGGCGGCCCCCUGGACA
Molecule: ribosomal RNA, 723 nt
Filed under: Vibrio sp. 12A01
Lineage: Bacteria; Pseudomonadati; Pseudomonadota; Gammaproteobacteria; Vibrionales; Vibrionaceae
Description: bacterial SSU rRNA
Rfam family: Bacterial small subunit ribosomal RNA
Source: RNAcentral